RNAcentral lists this ribosomal RNA (588 nucleotides) under Rhizopus arrhizus. RNAcentral describes it as "SSU rRNA". It matches the Rfam family "Eukaryotic small subunit ribosomal RNA", at positions 504 to 1099 of the family's 1831-position model. The record is from RNAcentral. Lineage: Eukaryota; Fungi; Mucoromycota; Mucoromycetes; Mucorales; Rhizopodaceae.
UGCAAUUGGAAUGAGUACAAUUUAAAUCCCUUAACGAGGAUCAAUUGGAGGGCAAGUCUGGUGCCAGCAGCCGCGGUAAUUCCAGCUCCAAUAGCGUAUAUUAAAGUUGUUGCAGUUAAAACGUCCGUAGUCAAACUUUAGUCUUACCGGCGUAGUGGCCUGGUCUUCAUUGACCAAGCUCAUUGCUGCCGGAGACUCCAUGUCCAUUGACUCCUAGUCCUCGUGGCUAGGGUUUUCUGGACAAUUACCAUGAGCAAAUCAGAGUGUUUAAAGCAGGCUUUUAAGCUUGAAUGUGUUAGCAUGGAAUAAUGAAAUAUGACUUUAGUCCUAUUUUCGUUGGUUUAGGUACUUCAGUAAUGAUGAAUAGAAACGGUUAGGGGCAUUUGUAUUUGGUCGCUAGAGGUGAAAUUCUUGGAUUGACCGAAGACAAACUACUGCGAAAGCAUUUGACCCGGGACGUUUUCAUUGAUCAAGGUCUAAAGUUAAGGGAUCGAAGACGAUUAGAUACCGUCGUAGUCUUAACCACAAACUAUGCCGACUAGAGAUUGGGCGUGUUUAUUAUGACUCGCUCAGCAUCUUAGCGAAAGU